Long non-coding RNA from Trichomycterus rosablanca, 512 nucleotides. RefSeq lists it as uncharacterized. Lineage: Eukaryota; Metazoa; Chordata; Actinopteri; Siluriformes; Trichomycteridae. The transcript is spliced from 3 exons. The record is from RefSeq and is a predicted model, not a curated record.
UCCUGUUUGCAGAACUUAGGUGGUUGUGGAGAAUCACAUGACUGGUCUCUUCCAGACAUUGGUUGUGAGAUCUUUGGCAGUAAAUACAGACACCCUUCUAGUGAAAGGUCCUCACUUCAGCUGAAGAGAAAGAAGUUGGUUCAUGACUCCUAGGUACACAGGGUGCAUCACUUGGAAAUGGAUGCUGAAACUCCAAAUCCCAAUCCUGGUCACCUUUGGUGAAUGCAGACAUCAUGUGUGUUGCCUGUAACAGCCAUGCAAGGGGUUUGAGUUGUCUUGAAAGUUUCUGAUGAGUGGAGUUUUAACCCAAUUUCCAUCUGCUGCACCUGAACUGCAUGGAUUCUUGACCAUUUUUGCAUGGUAGUAUAAAAACUGCUACCCUCCUCGCUCCUGUAAUGCAGACCACAUUUACAGCUUCGUAAAGUGUUUAAUUACUUUGACUCUUGCUGAACUUUAAAUUUGUGCAUGUCGCAACACACAUGAAACACAUGAGCAAAGAAGAGUGUAACAUU